GGGCAGUUACCAGAGUGGCCAAAUGGGGCGGACUGUAAAUCCGCUGUCUACGACUUCGGUGGUUCGAAUCCACCACUGCCCA
RNAcentral lists this transfer RNA (82 nucleotides) under Ferruginibacter sp. Its description in RNAcentral is "tRNA-Tyr". It matches the Rfam family "tRNA". Rfam says of the family: Transfer RNA (tRNA) molecules are approximately 80 nucleotides in length. Their secondary structure includes four short double-helical elements and three loops (D, anti-codon, and T loops). The record is from RNAcentral. Lineage: Bacteria; Pseudomonadati; Bacteroidota; Chitinophagia; Chitinophagales; Chitinophagaceae.